GCCAUUCCUGGAAUGCUUCUAGCUUUGGUCUUCUGUUUUGACCAUCGAAAGAAUAGAGAUAUGGACAUUUCAUUGGAGACCUUUUCCUCAAAAGGGCAUAAAUAUAUAUGGUAUGGACUUUCUGGUUAUGCAGCUGGACUGAUCACUGCUUUGGCUGCUGGGAUCUUGAGUCAGUCUCCUCAACCUGCUCUUCUCUAUCUGGUUCCGUCAACUUUGGGGCCUGUUAUUUUCCUGUCAUGGUUAAGAAAUGAACUAAGGGAGCUGUGGGAAGGAGCCAGACCAAUUUCAAAUGACAAGGCUCAUUCAAUGGAGGUUUGAACUGCAUCGCCGUUCUCAUACUGCUGACCUCUUCUUCCAUAUAAUUUUAUUUAAACAGAUGUAACAUUCAUGCUCAAGAGCUAUUUAUGAAGGUCAUCAAUCUUCAUUGCCAUUUCUGCAUGCAAGAAUGAUGAAUCAAUGCCUAGUAAUGAACCUUCAUUUUAUCAGAACUUGCUGUGGUUGAAAAAAGCAUUUUGUAGGCAAAAAAAAUCUAUACAUUGGCCGCUUGAAACAGCCAAAGAUUCAACCUUUUUUAACCGUUCCAGGUAUGUUCUCUGUGGCCGCAGAUGAAUUUUGGAGCUGUCAUGACGGAAAUAUUGUCUUCUAGGAUUUCAUCCCCGAGUGGAACGCAAACUAAUAGACACAGCUUUCUGCUCGGAAUAAUAAUUUCAAGAAGGUUUAUUGACACAACUAGAGUGUAGAGGGGGGAGAACUAGAAAGGGGAGUAUUUUUGGUGUACUUGCGCUACUAUGGAGUCACUGUGGAAGCUUACAUACUUGCUUGAACCUGCAUCUCUCGCCCUCAUAGUGACAGCAAUCUUCGUGACGUUUGCAUCGGCUUCCCGAGCUCUGGAUCAUGGCAAGGAGAUGGAGAGGAAUCUCGAAUUCUCGGAGGCAUCCAUCACAUUAGACCGGUCCCAAGCACUUAUGAUCCCCCUCGCAAGCUCUUGCAGCCUUUUGUUAAUGUUCUAUCUUUUCUCGUCAGUGUCCCACCUUGUUACUGCCUUCACAGCCAUUGCGUCAGCCUCUGCGCUCUUCUUUUGUCUCUCUCCUUAUGUUGCCUGCAUCAAAUCCCAUUUCAAUUUAAUGGACCCAUUUGUCUCCAGAUGCUGCUCCAAGUCUUUUACACGUAGCCAGGGAAUACUAUUGUUGCUAUGUAUAGGAACUGUAGUGGCCUGGCUCGUUUCUGGGCAUUGGGUGCUGAAUAAUUUAUUGGGUAUUUCCAUAUGUAUAGCAUUUGUUAGCCAUGUACGGCUACCGAACAUUAAGAUCUGCACUUUGCUUCUUGUCUGCUUAUUUGUGUAUGAUAUUUUCUGGGUCUUCUUCUCGGAGAGGUUUUUUGGAGCGAAUGUCAUGGUCUCCGUUGCAACGCAGAAGGCAUCUAACCCAGUGCACACAGUGGCUAACAGCUUGAGCCUUCCAGGUUUGCAACUGAUAACAAAAAAGCUAGAACUGCCUGUUAAGCUGGUCUUUCCAAGAAAUUUAAUGGGUGGGCUGAUUCCUGGGAGCACUGCUGGAGAGUACAUGAUGCUGGGCCUUGGAGACAUGGUAUGGUACUCUCUUAAUCUGCAUUUAUUAUUGUUCUUAUGGUAUUUUGGGAUUCCUUUCUUGGUCAACUUGAAAGUAGGAUGUAUUGGUUGAUGCAUCCACAAUUUAAUCUAAGUCCUUAUGCAGUAUUAUCUAACAUUUCUGACUUGUAUAUUUCCUGUCCGUUGCACUACACAUCAUGUUGGUUGUUUUACAGUGCUCAUGCAUUUGUAUAUAUUUCUUAGGUGCUCAUGCACCUAAGUUUUACGAUGAAUAGAAUUUCUUAAUGCUGAACAUUACUCAAUCCAAGUCUGAUGAGCUUCCGCUUGGCGUUAGUGAGACCUGACAAUGCUUGAUCACAUUGGGACUCUUCUAAAAUUGUAGCAAGGUUAGGUCUUGUGAUAUUAUUAUGGUCAACCAAAUUUGGUAUUUUUAGGAUGUAACAUUAUUAUAUCAUAUAUAAGUUUGAUAAAAAGGACACUCGAAUCUGCCUCUUGAUUUGGUAAUCUGGAUGCAUGACACGCCUUUGAUAAACAGAAGAAACAUAGCAGUGCUUCGCAUAUCACAUUUAAUAUUUAUAACUUUAAUUGGAAACAUAUUGCUCUUCAUCAAGGACACAUUUUGCUCAUUCAGGCGCCUAUGUUGUCAUUCCUGCCCAUGCCAUAACUGGCUUUCUGUUAUAUAAUGUUUUCAUAGUUAACCUUUAUGGAGUUAAAAAUGACUUUCUUAAUAACAAAUAUAUUCAAAUUUUUCAUAGGAUUUUUCAAAUGUACAUAGAUUAUCAUCAUAAAUGAAAAGAUGAUGAUGAGCAGCAACAUGAUGACCUGUUGCACCUCUAGUUUGACAGUUUGGUGUUGUUAUGAGCCAGUUGAACUUCAUCGACAAUUUUAUUUCCUGCACUGCUUGCAUGCCUAUCUCCCUUCUUAGUCAAUGCCGAUGUAUCAUAGGUUUCUUAGGCUCACCACUCCUUUGGGGGCGCUCUUCUCCAUUGCUUCCUCAAUACUGCUUCUUUGACUGGAUUUUUUGAAUCGAUCAUCUGCUUAAUAACUGUAUGCAUCAGCUUAUGUUCCAGUUGGCCAGUUGGAUACCACAAAUCUUCCAUUGGAUCUCUUGCUAUUAUGGGGCUAUGGUGCUAUUUAAUCCAGAUCUAAUUACAUUGAUCUAAGCUAUGAGUCUAUGACACAAAAAUCGAUAGCCAGCUAUUUGUUCUGUGACAAGAAAUUUCCUGAUGCCGCCAUCACCUAAAGUUUAUUAAGGAAUAGUUAUCAUCCAGAGAAAAUAGAAGGCGCCAUCACUAUCUGAGCCAUAAUAUAUUGGAGUGUUAUAUUGUCUAGUUAGUUCUCCACACCCCUCCCACCCUGCCACAAUCUUGCAUAACAUGUUGAAAACCUAUGCACGAUUAGUGCAACCAUUAUGGUGGAGUCUCUGAAUUGAUUUUGAUGAAUCAGGUUUGGAGAUUAAAAUUUUCAAAUUUAGGAUUAUAUCCAUUUGGAAAGCUCAACAACUAACUCUGCAAUCUAUCAGUACAGGUUUUAAGUUACAAUAACAUUUCCUAUGACCCAAGGCUUAAAGUCUGGGUAUUGGUACCCAUACUGGUUGGUUUCACUGUGCAAGGUGCACUGGUUUGAGCCAAUAGGGCAAAGGUAACCAACUAUCAUGUAUUGGUAUGUUAUGGUAUUGGUCAGUCACCAGUAUGUUACAGACAACACAUUACUCAAAUCCCUAUUCCUUGCUAUGGCCUGUUUAUGUCGAAAAACUGAACAUAUAUAGAAAGGAUAAAAUGCAAAUACAAAUAUUAAAUUGGUACUGAAAUUUGUAUCUGCACUUGUUCUAAUUGGAUACAUAUCCAAAUCGAAUAUUAAUCAUUUCCAUAUUUGUUCUAAUAUGAUACAUAUGCGAAUUGGAUAUUAGUCAGAUGCAAAUCAUGUGCUUUGAGUGAAGCUGAAUAGUCACAACUGAUAUUGAGUGAUUAUCAUGAAAGAUGUGAAAAAUAAAUUAGUUGCGGCUUAAUUAUCUGAAUAUGAUUUCAGCAAGCAUCGAUGAGUAUGCAUGAUAAAAUGUAAGAAUUUAUAAAAUUGAUAAUUGACCCCACUUUCUCGCUGAUAUUCACUGUGUUUGAUCAAAUCCUUGGACCAAUGUUGGAUGGCUACACUAUACGUGCCAUUCAUUUACGGUACAAUGUACACACACCCCCCUAUAUAUGCAGCCUUGAUAAUCUCUUCCUGCUCUGUCAACUUUUGUAUGUAGUGUCAUGCUUUGUUCUUCUCUGCUAGAUACUUGCCAUGGAUAACCUUUUUUGCUAGUUUACCAUCAUGUAUAUCAAACUCAUAUCAGCACAAUUAAUUGAUCCAAACACCAAACCUACCUAUCAGCAAGGAUAUAAGAUUCCGUAAAGGAAGAUCUACAAAUAAUAUAAUAUUUUGUCUCGUCCCUAUUUUUAGAUGACCCAUCUGUUUAGUGGUCGGGCAACACUUAUCUGUGAACAACUGUAAACAACUUCUGCUGAUAGUCUCAUAUUUACGUUAAUUUUGUUCUUGGUGAUGCCGAGUUAUUAUUGCUAUCAAAUUAGUCAUGUUGUUGUAAAUUUCCACAAGUCUGAUACGUAUGUGAUCGCCAUGUGUUGCAAAAGAGGAGUUAUGGUGUGGCAGUUAUUUAUACAAUGUCUUUCCUUAUGCACCAUAUAACUACAUAGGCACGAAGCAAAAUUGUUGAGGGCAGCAUGGAACACUGCAGUCGUGGCAGCUUGGAGCGGACGGCAAACAAAAUUCUUGACCGCUGCCAAUUCGAGUACUUGGAUGAGGCCAAUAAGUAUUUUGAACUGAAUUAGGAAGGAUAUUGUAUUGGAGUGAUUGUCUCGAUAAGGAAUCUAGCCUGCCCCCUUCUCCCUUUCUAGUUAUGGUCAUUGUUGGCGUUUUAGGAGGUGGAAAUGAAGACCCUUAAGGUAUUGGUGGUGAUGUUGGUUGGAUUGCUGGUGCGGAUGAUGGAGGUAGUGUUGGUGCAGGAGAUACAAGCGGCAGGGGUGACAGGGAUGCUGAAGCACUGGGGCCAUUAAACCAUGAAGCGCUUGUUCUUCUGGUGUUGUAGGAACCUCUUCAAUAUAUAGUUAAUGGAGCAUUUUUGGAGCUUUGGCUUGGCUGGUAGCUACUCGGGAUCAUGAUCAGUGUGCGGCAUGGCUUAUGGUGGGAAGGAAUGGAGGUUUGAUAGUGGAUGGCAUAGCUAGCAUAGUGUAGAAGGCAUUAAGACUUUAGGAGAAAAGGGAAAGAGCUCUGUUUUCCAUGCGAAGUUCAUGGAUUUUUCUUAUUUUUUAUUUACUUUAUAUAUAAUAAAAUAGGCCCGAGAAAAAUUGCAUAUGGCUAUCCUAAUUCUGUAUGCAUAUUGUACCUGGCUUGUUUCAGAUAUGUGUUGGAUUAUAUCCAACACUCUGAGUCCUUCUGAUCCUUGAAUUUUCUCAGUUUUAUUAUUCUUAAUUUAAAUCUUACAGGUUUGUCCAAGUUACACCCCAACUGCAACACUCUUUUUUCUCCAGUUCUCUAGUGGUGCCUGCCUCCUUUUUGUAAAUCAAGAGGUGGACAUAUUCCCUCAAUUUUGCUAGUUAAUGUAUCAUGCUUAAUGCAGUAACAAGAAACAAGAGAAAUAAGCAAAUGCAUAAAUGGGAAAGGUCAGUUUCUCUUGUCAUUGUGGAAGGUUAUUAUAUUUGUAUAUUGUGUCUAUAUUUACACAGACCCAAAUAAUUCAGAUGUCUAAUUCUUUAAGCUGAGCAAAAUUUUGCUUUACAGAUGAAGCAACUUCUUGCAAUUAUCUAGUCAAUGCAACUUUGCAAUCCUUUCGUCUUUAUGAACUGAACAUCUCAAAUUCUGUCUUUUGAUGUGUAAAAUCUAUACUUAUCGUUGCCUACAUAAUGGGGGCUGAAAUUGUGUGGUAUGUCUUAUCUUUUUUGGCUGGCUAUAGUCUAAAACGAUUCCUCUUUCAUCUGUUGGGAAAGCAUUAGUUGCAUGAUGUUUCAGUUUAGUUUUUACUUCUAUAUUUUGUCAUCAUAUAUUUUCACUUUUAUAUUUUGUCACCAUAUCUUUGAUUGGGUAAUGGUACAUUUUAUUGAGGUUGAACUGAAAUUGUUGCAUGCUAUCUACGAAUAAUGAUGCAGAGCACUUGAAUAUGUUUUUAGCCUGUUUAUUUGAACUUCCAAAUUUUUACAUGUCUAUUUAUCUACAGCCACGAUUACUCUGCCUGUUUCAUUAACUUUCCAACUAAAUUACCAUAACAAAGGUUUUGCUGAUUCUGUAGGCCAUUCCUGGAAUGCUUCUAGCUUUGGUCUUCUGUUUUGACCAUCGAAAGAAUAGAGAUAUGGACAUUUCAUUGGAGACCUUUUCCUCAAAAGGGCAUAAAUAUAUAUGGUAUGGACUUUCUGGUUAUGCAGCUGGACUGAUCACUGCUUUGGCUGCUGGGAUCUUGAGUCAGUCUCCUCAACCUGCUCUUCUCUAUCUGGUGAGUUUCAUUCAUCUGAGGUAUCAAUUGUUUUCAUCCGUGUUCAAUAUUAGUUUUCUUCAUAAGCCAGUGCCUUCACGCAGUAUGCAUAUGCUGUUGCUGUCACAAGUAUUCUCUGUAUAGGAAUCUGACAAAUUUGUAUGAAACAUCAAUACCAACUCACCUAUUACUUUUAUCUAGAUCAAUCUAUUAGAAUUGAGGCCAUAAAUCAUUUUUGAAAUAUCCUUUUAUUCUUGUUAUUAUUCAUGUCUUAAACAUCAAAGGCUGGCGGACCUCAUGAAGCUUAAUUAUAAAUACUUUUGUUUUAAUACUAAAAAAAAGUUAAUCGAAAGACUUUGGCAUCUGUUCUGUUACUAAACCCAAUUCCCGAGUGCUUCCAUGAGGCUCCACCUCUGGUGUUGUGUGUCUCAAAUAGUAUAGCUACUCUUGUUCUGAGGCAGAGAAACAAGAGUAGUAUACAUCCCAAAAUUAGGAGUGUAUAUAUAAAAUUGCAUAAAUCAUUAAAAAAUAAUCAGAUUGCAAGAUGACAGCCAUUGUUGAUCGUACACUGCAG
RNAcentral lists this long non-coding RNA (6600 nucleotides) under Phoenix dactylifera (date palm). Its description in RNAcentral is "long non-coding RNA (PDAC_LNC001378)". The record is from RNAcentral. Lineage: Eukaryota; Viridiplantae; Streptophyta; Magnoliopsida; Arecales; Arecaceae.